RNAcentral lists this ribosomal RNA (245 nucleotides) under uncultured Clostridia bacterium. Its description in RNAcentral is "partial 16S ribosomal RNA". It matches the Rfam family "Bacterial small subunit ribosomal RNA", at positions 524 to 768 of the family's 1533-position model. Lineage: Bacteria; Bacillati; Bacillota; Clostridia. The record is from RNAcentral.
CACGUAGGGGGCAAGCGUUGUCCGGAAUGACUGGGCGUAAAGGGCGUGUAGGCGGUUUAUCAAGUCAGAUGUGAAACACCUGGGCUCAACCGAGGUCUUGCAUUUGAAACUGAUAGACUUGAGUGCAGGAGAGGAGAGUGGAAUUCCCAGUGUAGCGGUGAAAUGCGUAGAUAUUGGGAGGAACACCAGUGGCGAAGGCGACUCUCUGGACUGCAACUGACGCUGAGGCGCGAAAGCUGGGGGAG